UUCGGAUACUCGCCGAAAGGCGUGCUAAUACCGGAUAAUGACGAAAGUCCAAAGAUUUAUCGCCCGAGGAUGAGCCCGCGUAGGAUUAGCUAGUUGGUGUGGUAAAGGCGCACCCGGCGCGACGAUCCUUAGCUGGUCUGAAAGGAUGAUCAGCCACACUGGGACUGAGACACGGCCCACACUCCUACGGGAGGCAGCAGUGGGGAAUAUUGGACAAUGGGCGAAAGCCUGAUCCAGCAAUGCCGCGUGAGUGAUGAAGGCCUUAAGGUUGUAAAGCUCUUUUACCCGGGAUGAUUUGACCGGGCCGGGAGAAUACCCCCCGGCUAACUCCGUGCCCCCGGCUAACUCCGAGGAAGCAGCCGCGGUAAUACGA
RNAcentral lists this ribosomal RNA (373 nucleotides) under Sphingomonas sp. AJ 5-2. Its description in RNAcentral is "bacterial SSU rRNA". It matches the Rfam family "Bacterial small subunit ribosomal RNA", at positions 137 to 528 of the family's 1533-position model. Lineage: Bacteria; Pseudomonadati; Pseudomonadota; Alphaproteobacteria; Sphingomonadales; Sphingomonadaceae. The record is from RNAcentral.